This 1481-nucleotide ribosomal RNA is filed under the name Plasmodium falciparum 326.1. RNAcentral's name for it is "bacterial SSU rRNA". It matches the Rfam family "Bacterial small subunit ribosomal RNA". Lineage: Eukaryota; Apicomplexa; Aconoidasida; Haemosporida; Plasmodiidae. The record is from RNAcentral.
CGAGUUUGAUCCUAGCUCAGAAUUAACGCUAGAAAUAUACAUUACACAUGCAAAUUAAUGAUAAUAUCAUAGUGUAUAGGUGAGGAUAUAUAAAUUUUUAAUUUUAAAUAGAUUAUAAAUUUUAUUAAAUAAUAAUCUAUAAGCGCAAAAAUAUAUGUACUAUAUUAAAAAUUAAUAUUAUUUAAAAUAAAAUUUAUAUUUGAUUAACUAGUUGGUAAUUUAAAAGACUACCAAGGUUAUUAUCAAAAAUUGGUUUGAAAGAAUGUACAAUCACAUUAGGAUUGAAAUAAAGCCUAAUUUUUAAACUACCAAGGUUAUUAUCAAAAAUUGGUUUGAAAGAAUGUACAAUCACAUUAGGAUUGAAAUAAAGCCUAAAUUUUUAUAAAAAAUCAGCAGUGAGGAAUAUUUUACAAUAAGUGUAAGCUUGAUAAAGUAAUAUUUCUUUUAGGAAGACAGUAUUAUUAAAAUAUUGUAAACUUUUUAUUUUAUUUUUAAAUAUUGAUAAAAAUAAAAAAUAGUAUUUGCUAAUUUCUGUGCCAGCAGCAGCGGUAAUACAGAAAAUGCAAGCGUUAUUCAUUUUAUUAGGCGUAAAGCGUUUUAAGGUUUUAUAUUAAUUUUAUGUUUAAAUAUUUAAAUUAAAUUUAAAAUAAAUUAAUAAAUAAUAAUAUAAUAGAGUAUUAUAAAAGUAUUAAGAAUUUUUUGAGAAGUAGUGAAAUACAAUGAUACAAAAAAGAAUAUCAAAGGCGAAAGCAUAAUACUAUAUAAUUACUGACACUUAAAAACGAAAGCUAAGGUAGCAAAUAGGAUUAGAUACCCUAGUAGUCUUAGCUGUAAACUAUGAAUAUUUUAUAUUUAUAUUUUAUAAAUAUAAUAACUAACGUGAUAAAUAUUCCGCCUGAGUAGUAUAUUCGCAAGAAUGAAAUUCAAAGGAAUUGACGGGAGCUUAUACAAGUGGUGGAACAUGUGGCUUAAUUCGAUGCAACACGAUAAACCUUACCAAAAUUUAACAAUAUUUUUAAUAUUAAGAAAUUAAUAUUUUAAUAAAAUAUAUAGGUAGUGCAUGGCUGUCGUCAGUUCGUGCUGUGAAGUGUUAAUUUUAGUAUUAUAACGAACGUAACCUUUUAUAAAAAAAAUUUUUAUAAUAAAUAAUAAUAAAGAUUACGUCAAGUCAUUAUGCUCCUUAUAUUUUGGGCUGCUCACGUGUUACAUAAAAUAUUACAAUAUUUUAUUAUAUGUUAAAUAUAAUAAUUAAAAUAUAUUUAUAGUUCAGAUUAUAAAUUGAAACUCAUUUAUAUAAAGAUGGAAUCACUAGUAAUCGCUAAUCAGAAUUAUAGCGGUGAAUAAGUUCUUAAGCUUUGUACACACCGCCCGUCACAUCUAAAAAGUAUCAUAUUAUAUAAAAAUUAUUGUUAAAUAAUAAUAUAUAAUUAUAUAAUUUAGAUGAAGUCGUAACAAGGUAGCCGUACUGGAAGGUGCGGCUG